Gossypium raimondii (Peruvian cotton) is the source of this 145-nucleotide non-coding RNA. NCBI's taxonomy places the organism in Eukaryota, Viridiplantae, Streptophyta, Magnoliopsida, Malvales, Malvaceae. The record is from Rfam.
UGUUAAAAUUUUCAUCUAAUUCUAUUGUUAAAAAUUGGUCUAGAUGGUGGAAUAACUUGACAGUUAUAAGUGGUGUGCUACAUGUAUCUUAUUCUGACAUGAAGGGAUUGGUUUUUAACAAUAAGAAUGGAUUGAAUUUUUAACA